Molecule: transfer RNA, 81 nt
Filed under: Saccoglossus kowalevskii
Lineage: Eukaryota; Metazoa; Hemichordata; Enteropneusta; Harrimaniidae
Description: tRNA-Ser
Rfam family: tRNA
About the family: Transfer RNA (tRNA) molecules are approximately 80 nucleotides in length.
Source: RNAcentral
GUAGUCGUUGCCGAGUGGUUAGGCGAUGGACUAGAAAUCCAUUGGGCUAUGCCAGCGCAGGUUCGAAUCCUGCCGACUACG